Eriocheir sinensis (Chinese mitten crab) is the source of this 9967-nucleotide long non-coding RNA. RefSeq lists it as uncharacterized. The record is from RefSeq and is a predicted model, not a curated record. The transcript has 3 exons. NCBI's taxonomy places the organism in Eukaryota, Metazoa, Arthropoda, Malacostraca, Decapoda, Varunidae.
CAUAAAAUCUGCAUGCAUCAUGGCGAUUCAAGUUCCUAAUAUUUCCUGUAUACAUCUUGGACACUGAUGUAAGAUCGAUGUAACUUGUGUAUAUUGCAAACAGUUAAAGCAACACUUCCCUUUUGGGAGAAAUAGUGGUGGCAAAGAUAAAUUCUUUAGAAAUCGUCUAUUCCGAACACUCAAUACCAAGUAAACGACUUUCCAUACCAUCAAUGAAAUCAUUUGUGGUAAAAAAAUUUGAGCAUACAACAUUUUGGGUUAUUUCGACGACACACAUUUAUGCACACUUUUUUUCAGUAUUUCGUUGGGGACAUACCCCAAGGGAGGAAGGCGGUGCGUGCUGCGCAACCACCCAGACGGUAGAGAGAUGCCCAAUCCUUCAAGUGGAGGCCCAACAACGGGGCUGGGGUGACGGAGAGAGCCCAACCUUUCCACUCCCAAUGUCACCGGUUAGAAGUCGAACCUUUACACUCCAGCAUCUCGCCGCCACGCAAGGCAGAGACACUAACCCCUGGGCCACGGGAGCUCCCCAUUUAUCCACACUUUUAAAUCGCUCGUCUCUUGGAAAGCGGACUCAUCUUAAUGUGUUUCUAUCCCACUACACAUUGUUUAUUGCUACAGUCAGAUAAUGCACACUGAGUUGGCAUAUGAUAAUUAGCAAUAGUUGCUACAACCCCUCGACAUGCAUUAUGCAGUAGAAUAAAAGACUGAACUAGAUUGGGAAUGGAUUUGCUCCACUCCCUAUAUUGGAAGCGUCCUAGCGCCCUGUCCCGAUAAAGAUAUACGAAAAUCAAAUUUAAAUGAAAUAACGCAUAAUCAUUUUCUUGAACUUAUUCUCCUUCAGCUCUUUAGUACUCAGUUAUUUUUCGUUGCAUCAAUUUUUUAAGCAUGCUAUUCUGAUUUUGAUGGUGUACGUCCUGAAGUAAAAACAUAAAGACGGUCAAAAUUGCCUCCGAACAUAAGCUGUGCUGUGACGGCUUUCAUUUGCCUCGGCACUGGUUUACUCAGACUCGCCUCUCUUGCACAGUCAAGACAGCUGUCAGGACGCAGAGUACCUCUUUUGAAGGGACGCACGGAUAGACACUCCGUCGUCAUAGCACAGCUUAUGUUCAGAGGAAAUUUUGACCCUCUAUUUUUUUUACCUUGUGACGUACCCUACACCAUCAAAAUCAGAACAGCAUGGAGAUUUGGGAUAUGUGCUUGAGAAAGUGAUGUGACAUAAAAUAGGUGAAUACUAAUUAGGGAGUUGAAGGGAAAUAAGUGCAAGAAAAUGUUUGUGAUACUUAAUUUGACUCUGCUUUUUGUAUAUUUGUUUUUACAUUAUUGUUACAAAUUUAUGCUCGUUUAAUGUAGAAUUUUCUUGGGAAGAUGAUGGUGGUCUCAGUUUUUCUUAAUAAUGAAUGGUGGGGUCAGGAAACUGGGUGGGAGUGAGGUGUGUGAAGUCGUCGGUUUUGGAGGAACUGGGCACAUCCACAGCCAACGGCCCAGCAUCACUUGCAGGGCCUUGGUUCGCAGUCUAGUAUGUAAAUCUGUGGAAACAACAGGGAAAGGGUUAAAAAUAGGCUACGCCUGCAAGCAGAUGAGUUACAUGCGAAAGGAUUCAGGACUGCGCAUGCGUGAGGAAGCCACAUCUCGUGAUUGGUGGAGCGUUGCCCCUUCUGCUGGCAAAUAUAAACAAAUGAUCUUGUAAAUUUCACUAACCUAACUUUACCUAACGUAAUCUACUUAACGGGGGCCUUCAACCCCCUAACUAAUUAAACUAGCCCAACCUAACUUAACGUACGUAAUGGGGGACUUCACCCCCUCGACCCCCGUAACGAAGCCCCCCUCGCCCCCUCUAACUAUAUACUAAUUCCCAACCUAACUUAACUUAACCUACUUAAUGGGCACCUUGAGGAAGGUGCCAGCAACAGGAGAGGAGCAGUGUAACGCUCCACAAAUCACGAGACGUGGCUUCCUCGCACAUGCGCAGUCCUGAAUCCUUUCACACGUAACUCACUUGCUUAAUAAUAAGCCCCAGUCACACAUUCACGACAAUGCUGACUGACAGAGAUGAAAUGGGUUAAUUUGAGUUUAAGUUAUCAAUUUUAUCCUCUAAUCUUUAUAUUUGCUCCUGUAACUCAGGAUUUUUCUCCUUGAGAAAAUGGGAUGACAGGUUCAAUUAAUUUCUUAAGAGGAGAUGAGACACCGGCAGAAUAGUUUCUUAUCAAAACCAAUCCCAUCUUGGUAGGCAAGUGCACAGAUUUGGUAGCACAGCAGAACUCUCAGAUCUUAAAGAGGAAGGCAGGAGGUAUGGGAGGGUUUGUGUGAUGAAAAGACAAUGUGAAGCAGAGUCUGUUAAACUUGAAUUAUUUAUUAAACACUAGGUAAGUGUCAUAUUCACAGGGAAGAAUGACUGGAAUAUGAAUUAAUGUCAGACAAAUACAGUAGGCGAAAAUGAAAUGUACAGGAGAAUAUACUUAGAACAAACUAAAUUCCAAACAACUAAAGUACAAUGACAAAGAUUACACAGUUUGACUCCUAAAAACAAUAUUAAAUAACUUCAAAUGGAAGCAAUACAUUCCUGUGAUACAAUUCACUAUUAAUAGGUUUAGGGGAAAAACAGUGCUCAUAUACAAUACCCCAAAAUUCGAAUAACUUGAAAUCCCAACACUUUUUUUGAGAAAGCUUUGGCCCAUAACUCCAAUUUUUCUUGGAACUCAAACGCAGCCAAUGGCACCACUACUACCAUAUAGAAUGUAUAUUAACUCUUAUGUUUUAGCUGGAAGAAAUAUUCGCUAGUAAUCUUUGAACAUUUUCUUAUAAUUAAAAUGUAAAAUUAACAAUUCUGUUGCACUUGUGACAUUAUUAAAACACCAUUUAUUUAUAUACUUGAGUCUUGCACUAGUGUUCAAAUUUAAAGAACCCAAAACACGUUCACGUGAUAACCAUUCGGGAACGCAGCGUGCGUCGCUUUGUUUACCGUUCAGUUCAUUUUGUGCUCUCAUUCAUUAAGCAUCCCCACGUAAUUUAUUGUGUUCUCGAUAUUGUUUUUUGUGCUUUGGUUUCAGUAACAUCCCUGUGCAUUUACCAUGGUGCCCAAGAAGGGUGUUGAGGCUUAUAAGCCUAAGAUUUCCUUAUUGCAUUUAUAUUUACUUUUUUUACUAUUUACCUAUUGGUAUUAUUUUUUUAUUGUUUUAUGCAGCAAUUACAACAUUUACUUGUGUUUUUCUGGCUUAAAUUAUCAGUUUUGGGAGAUGACAUGGGUAUUUUGAGGGUCUGGGAAAGGAUUAAUUCACUUUCCAUUGUUUCCUAUAAGAAAGAUUGCUUUGGAACUCAAAAUUUUUAGAACUCGAAGUCUCCAGGAAUGAAUUAAGUUUGAGUUCUGAGGUCUGACUAUAUAUGAUCACACAUUACAAGUCUACUGAAGAACAAAGUCCUUUCCUAAUGUACAUACUCCACUUGUCUGGUGCAAGAUCAAAAAUGGUUUAAUAUUUGAGUCCUCUACAUUCCUCUAUACACCUGUACUGGGUAUAUUCCCCUUACUAGACGGAAAGUACUGGGUAUAUUCCCCUUACUAGAUGGGAGGUACUGGGUAUAUUCCCCUUAUUAGAUGGGAGGUACUGGGUAUAUUCCCCUUAUUAGAUGGGAGGUACUGGGUAUAUUCCCCUUAUUAGAUGGGAGGUACUGGGUAUAUUCCCCUUAUUAGAUGGGAGGUACUGGGUAUAUUCCCCUUAUUAGAUGGGAGGUACUGGGUAUAUUCCCCUUACUAAACGGGAGGUACAGUUGAAAAUUUCCCUCCCACCACCAAAAUCAUGAGCUCAGUUUUUAGGCAGGAGUGAUGCUCUCAUGUAAAGUAAAAAUAAUUUAAGUUAUAGUAACAAUAACUGUGUGACAUGCUUUUUUUCUUGUACCAUGAAGCAUGGGUAUACUCAUGGGCGAAGAUACUAAAUUUCAUUAAUGGUCAGUUCAAUCAAUGGUUUGUUGCACAGAUUGAGACCAAAGAAACUCAGAACAUCUUAUUGUCCCUACUAUUUGUAGUAGACAUAACCUACAUAAGCUCUUUGCAUUAUGCUUAUAGGAGUACAAACUGCAACUGAAAUAUUCCCAUGAGUUCUGGAGGAAUGCAAGGUGGUUCUCAGUGGCCCACUAAAUAUUUUUAAAAUGUCAAUAAAUUCUGGUUGUGUGCUCAGCCUAUGGAAAGCAGCUAAUGUGACCGAUUAUCAAAAGGGGGACAGGUCACCUAGUUCUAACUAUCGCCCAAUUAGCUUAACAUCAAUUGUAGGCAAGAUGCUGGAGUCAUUAAUAGCCAGGAGCAUUUGGGGCCAUCAAGAGAAACAGACUAAUUCAUGAUUUGCAGUGUGGGUUCAUGAAGGGUAGGUCAUGCAUUACCAGUCUCUUGUCUUUUUAUAAUAAAGUAAUUGAGGCAGAAGAUAGGGAUGAAAACUAUGAUGUAAUAUAUCUUGAUUUUAGUAAAGCAAUCAACAAAGUUACUCACCACCAACUGUUGCUUAUUAUAGGCUCACAAAGUAGACAGAAAAGUUUUGAACUGUAUCAGGGUGUGACUUAGCAAUAGUAAGUGAAGAGUGCAUAUUAAAGGUAAAAGAUCUGACUGGGGCUAAGUUACGAGUGGGGUUCUACAGGGGUUAGUAUUGGGUCCACUGCUGUUUAUCAUUUACAUUAUAUACAAGAAUUAACACUUUUGUGCAUGUGGAUGUGACAUACGCGUCAGUAUAAUUGUCCAGUCAAAAAUCACGGCGUAUGAUUGAUGCGACUAUUGCGUCACUGAUACAAAAAUAUUCACCAAAAAUUAUGUAAUUCUCAUUGACGCGUGAUACUUGGUCUGUAGACAGGCUAGUGCAUGUCGGCUCGAGGUAAGCUGAUGGACACUUCUUGCCGGGAAAUUUUCCUGGGUGACUGGUGGAAAUCUCUUCAGUUGACUCUCCAGCGGUUGCGGACGGGUUUGUGUGUGGCGGGGGGGCAGGGUUACCAAAGAUUUUUUUCUUUCAAGCCUAACUCAUCAACUAUACGUCAUAUAAGAAAUCUGAAACUACCAUUGUAUAAGUAAUGAUCUGUUCUUUAAGAUAACUAUAACAGUUAUGGAGAUAAAAGGAAAAAAGUGAACAUUUUUUUUAAAAAUCUAUUUUUUUCGUUUUUUCAAAUUUAUGACCGUUAUAAUUGGUGUAUCAAAAUUCUGUUUGUUGCGCUAAUUAGCUCAUAAAUGUUCGCUUCUUUUGUUAUAGAGCACAAUGUUAUAUUUUUACUCCUUCUGUGUGAAAAUGGGAGUUUUUUUAUUUCAGAAAUCGGUUCGUGUCACUUCAACUCAUGAUAUCUCGGUAAAAUAUAAAACAAACAUUAUUUUUUUCUUUCCAUAUGAAAGAGCUUACAAUUUACAGUGGAAUGUAUGUAGCUUCAUAAAAGUGAACUGAGCAAAAGAUUCGAUGAUCGAGUUUUGAAAAAAAAUUAUACUGCUCGGUCAGGGUACCAAAAUCAGGCCUCCCAAUAGCCAGUUAAGUGUGCGUUUUGGACUAGAAAAUCAGAUGGGAGGGUGUGCGCGAAAGUGUUAAUAGUGAUCCAAAUAAGUUUGUGGAUGAUACAAAGGUCGGCAGAGUAAUUGAAUCGGAUCAGGACACUGGUAUUUUCCAGGAUGAACUAAAGGCUAAGGGUGCGAUGAGACUUGAUCGAAGUUUAUAAAUGGAUGAAGGGAUUUAAUAAGAAGAAUAUAAAUAGGGUUCUGAUGGAAAGAGUACUGGGUAGGAAACGCAGUAACUGGACAUUCAGACCUUAAGGGAAGGCGACGCCUUAAAAAAAUGAUAUUUUUCGACUCAGAAGUUGAAAUUGAGUUAUUAACAUCAUGGUCCCCCUUAAUAUGUCUGGCGUCUUCUGUGAAAACCGCAAGUUGAUACCAUUAUUCCUUAUAUUUUUAAAUCGCCUUUGUUUACCCUUAUUAAUGGGGUUUAAAUGACCUGCACACCAUGUGCUCGGUCACCUGGCUUAGAAACUCAUCAUUUUGAAGCAUUUUUUUUACUUUUUUUUCUUAUUUAAAAAAAGAUGUGGAGCUUCAGUCGGCAACAUCACUUAUGAGCUGUGAGUGACUCGGAGUAAACCUCCUCAGUCACUUGGUGUCCAGUAAGACGUCAGAGUGAGUGUGUCUGCGCUCCAACACUACUUCAGUUUCUUUUGUAUUCUUUGCAGUUUCUUUUGUAUUCUUCUUUGCUUUAGCAAGUUUGGAAGGAUGCCUCGUUAUGAUAAAGAAAAGCGUGCACGGAUAGAUGCGGCAAGGAAGAUGAGGGAAAAGAAAGAAAAGCAAGAGGAGUUGCAUUGUUGUGAUAAGUCACCACCACCACGCACACUCUCAGCUCACCGCCCAGCCUCAUCUCACACUUCUCCUCCGCCUCUUCCCUCUACCUCUCAACAAUCACCUCCACCACCACAACUCAUUGCCGAGUCCCAUCAAGCCACGAAGAUGGAUCUACGAAUCGAAUUAUUCCACCUCAGUUUUCCAAUCCCCUAUGAAGAUGACGAGAAAUAUAUAAUCUCUCGCUCUCAACUAGAAACACUUGCAUCCAAGAUAUGCAGCAAAUGUUUAGGGGAGCAGAAAUUUGAGGCAGAAAAUAAUAAUUUUGACUGCACCAUCACCAUCACUUGUCUCCAGUGUGGGGAGGUGUCAGCAAUAACACCACGUCGCACAAUGGAUGAUGCUGGACGUGAGACAGUUCACAGAUCUCAACUGCAAGCUCGUUUAUGAGGCUCUAAUUAAUGACCUUGGUUGUGCUGGAUUGAAUCAAAUUGCUCAAGCACAAAGCAUACCUCCCAUGUCAUCUGGGAAAUUCAACAGAUACGCCAACUUCCUCUAUAUAAAAAUGUGGAAACACUACGAGGAUGCUCAGAAGAAAGCAGUUGAUGGAAUUUUCCGUCACUAUGCCUCUGUUGAUAUGCUUCUGAAUCCUGUGCCAAAGCAACUGGACAUCACUGGGAGCUUUGAUGGUACAUGGAGGAAGAGAGGACAUACUUCCCACAUUGGUGUUGGAUUUGUGAUAGAACAGGAGACUGGAGUGAUUGUUGACUUUGAAAUCCUAUGUAACUAUUGUUCCAUCUGUUCCACUAAACAGAAGCAGCACCUCACAGGAAGCAUGGGAUUCAUGGUUUCAGGGCCACAAAGAAAAGUGCUUCAAAAACUUUGAUGGGACAUCAGCAGCAAUGGAAGCAAAAGCAGCAGUGAAACUAUGGACCCGAUCUACAGACUAUAAUCUUCGUUAUGUCAGCUUCAUCAGUGACGGAGACUCGAGUGCAUACAAUGCUGUGUGCACUAAACAACGGCAAUGGACCAUAUGAUGUGCCUGUUCAGAAAGAAGAGUGUAUCAAUCAUGUGGCAAAAAGACUUGGCACUCGACUGAGGAAACUCAAACAGGAGGACUUCACAAUCAUCACAACAAAAUCAGGGAGGAAGAUGAAGCGCAGUGUUCUGGGAGGUGCCAAGAAGCUGACAGACAGUGUCAUACAGUCUUUGCAAAGAUAUUACAAGCAGGCUAUCAAUGACAACGUGAACAAGUCUGUCACCUCAGUGCGUGAUGCAAUCAUGGCAUCUUUCUACCAUGCUUGUUCAUCAGACAAGGAUACACAUUUACAUGAUAUGUGCCCCAACGAUAGUGACUCUUGGUGUUUCUAUAAAAGGGCACUUGCUCAGGGUGAAAUACCUCGUAGUCACUCUGUAAAACCACCCUACCUAAGCAACAUACCUUCUGAUAAGCAAGAGGACAUCAGGAAGAUCUAAUGCGAUCUAAUCAGGACAGAGCUCCUUGAAAGGUGUAUGAAAGGCAGAACCCAGAACCUGAAUGAAAGUCUGCAUUCUAAGCUAUGGGCUAAAUGCAGCAAAACUAAGUAUAGUGGGACCAAAAGAGUCAAGUUUGUUGCCUCUGUGACCGUAUUAGAUCACAACUUUGGCUACUUGAAUCCAAGUCUACUAACUCAUCUUGGGUUUGGUGCCUCUCAAAACACUCUCGCUGGGUUAGGCAUUCAAGAAAGCAGAACAACUCCUGUACAGAAGAGGACCAAAAAGAAGCCCCAUUCAAGAGAAGGAAGUGAAGACUACCAGCCAGGCAGCUUCUAAUAAUCCUGGCGACAAAGAGGAGAGUGGCGCCCCCUGAUACCCUUACCUGCGAGUGAGUAAUAUCCUGUCAUACAGGAGGGGACCAGGUGCCAAUUAGCCCUGGAUAUGAUAAUAAACUAUGGUUUCCUUUUGGUUUUAUCAUUUUUAUCCUAAUGCAUGUAAAAUUUUACCAGAAAAACCCAACAUAUGGAAUUAUACACACUUCCCAGAAGAAAACGGCUCGUAUCUCUGCACUAUUCAACUUCUUUCAACAGAAGACCCUCUCAACAGGAAUUACAUGAGUCCAAACUGGAGGCUGCAGAACGCUUAACCUCAGACCUUACUAUCAUUUCCGAUUGGGGUAAAAGGAACCUUGUGUCCUUCAAUGCCUCAAAAACCGAGUUUCUCCACCUAUCAACUCAACACAAUCUUCCAAACACCUAUCCCCUAUUCUUCAACAACACUCAGCUGUCACCAUCUUCAACACUAAACAUCCUCGGUCUAUCCUUAACUCAAAAUCUCAACUGGAAACUUCACAUCUCCUCUCUCGCUAAAUCAGCUUCCUCGAGGUUGGGCGUUCUGUAUCAUCUCCGCCAGUUCUCCCCCGCACAGUUGCUAUCCAUAUACAGGGGCCUUGUCCGCCCUCGUAUGGAGUAUGCCUCUCACGUGGGGGGGCUCCACUCACACAGCUCUCUUGGACAGACUGGAAUCUAAUGGCCGUACCAUUAGGCAGCUUCUAAACCUUCCUCAUCCUCUUCCCUUAAACAGUGUCCCCUUUCUGCCGGAUACUAUGAGGUGAUCUCGGUCCCUUCCUCCGCUAGAGCUUCUUCCGAGUUGGGAUGGUAGCCUCUGUAAACAUUUCUACAAGGAAAUAUUGAUAAUUGAAGCAUUUUACAGAUAUUAGUGUAAUCAUACAUAUUUUUCAAUGUAUAAUCACGAAGAGAAUGGUUGAUUGAAAGGCAAAUAUAGGUAUAAUUGGGAACAUAGCGUGAGUGAUAGGGUUGGCAUCCCUGCGCGGCCCGUGUUUCCACGAGGCCUACUAGACGGGAGGCCUUGGGGAUGGGGAGUGACGUCAGCACCCCUUGGUUUCCACCUCUCUCCACGCACACAGCCAGGGAGUCCACAUGUGCCCAGCGUUAUCACUUCUCUGCCCCUCGCUACCAUCCCGUCAAGCAAGGAGCCGUUAGAAAAGUGCUCGAGCCCCAUCGGAGCUAUAGGAAAAGACUACCAAGCUCCUUGAGCUGACCAAGGAGGCGUGUUGACACGGCAACUUGGCAAGGGUUAAAAAUCAUGAUACAACCCUAAAGUCUUAAACAAAAUUUUAAAUCAUUUAUUUAAAAAACUUUUGCAGAUUCAUAUUAGAUCAAAUACAUUUUAUUAUAAUUCCUGGAUCAUUUAUUACUGUAUUGAUGAGAGAAAUGCAGAAUUGACGCAUAAGAUAUGCGAAGGGGCCCACGAAGAUGUACCUAUCUCGACCCCUUGCCAGACCCCAACAAUUUUGCCCGUCAACACCUUUCCUUCGCUUACGGAGAGGGCCCCUCGAAGAUUAUGGUAUGAGAAAUUGGCCGAAGAGCUUCUAUAGUUGAGGAGGCUGCCUUAUGGUACAGCUGUAAGGCUCUUCGUCUCAUCAGCUCUCCUCCUCCUACUGAUAGUCUUCUACCUCCUAAUUUCCGCCGCCACGUUGCCUCUCUUUCUAUCUUCUAUCGUUAUUUUCAUGCUGACUGCUCUUCUGAACUUGCUAACUGCGUGCCUCUCCCCCUCCUGCGGCCCCGCUGUACACAACUUUCUACUCAUGCUCAUCCCUACACUGUCCAAAUCCCUUACGCACGAGUUAACCAGCAUCUUCACUCUUUCAUCCCUCACUUUGGUUAACUCAGGAACAAUCUUCCUUCAUCUGUA